Sinocyclocheilus rhinocerous is the source of this 372-nucleotide non-coding RNA. The record is from the annotation of a RefSeq genome assembly. Lineage: Eukaryota; Metazoa; Chordata; Actinopteri; Cypriniformes; Cyprinidae.
AUGUUGCUCCUGGUAUUUAUGAUAUUUUCUCUCCUAAAAGAGAACGCUGCUGAUGAUGUCAUAAAACCAGUCUUCACAGAGAAGCAGGUUUUGGCAGGAAAAGAUGUUACACUGAUCUGCAACUACACUGGCACAGUUCGCAGUUUACAGUGGUACCGUCAGUAUCCCGGAUCCAAACCUGAGCACCUCAUUAUGUUCUUUGAAACCAGCCCUAAAUCAGAGCUCGCUCUCCGUCUGACCGCUGCGGCUGAUAAAGCAGCCAAAAGUAUUAAUUUGACCAUCUUUUCUACAGAAGUGAUAGACUCUGCCAUGUACUACUGUGCCCUGCAGCCCACAGUGACAGGAAGCACAACUUCACUGUGCAAAAACUGA